Molecule: ribosomal RNA, 492 nt
Filed under: uncultured bacterium
Lineage: Bacteria
Description: partial 16S ribosomal RNA
Rfam family: Bacterial small subunit ribosomal RNA
Source: RNAcentral
AGUGAACGCUGGCGGUAGGCCUAACACAUGCAAGUCGAACGGCAGCACAGUAAGAGCUUGCUCUUACGGGUGGUGAGUGGCGGACGGGUGAGGAAUACAUCGGAAUCUACUUUUUCGUGGGGGAUAACGUAGGGAAACUUACGCUAAUACCGCAUACGACCUACGGGUGAAAGCAGGGGAUCUUCGGACCUUGCGCGAUUGAAUGAGCCGAUGUCGGAUUAGCUAGUUGGCGGGGUAAAGGCCCACCAAGGCGACGAUCCGUAGCUGGUCUGAGAGGAUGGUCAGCCACACUGGAACUGAGACACGGUCCAGACUCCUACGGGAGGCAGCAGUGGGGAAUAUUGGACAAUGGGCGCAAGCCUGAUCCAGCCAUACCGCGUGGGUGAAGAAGGCCUUCGGGUUGUAAAGCCCUUUUGUUGGGAAAGAAAAGCAGCAGGUUAAUACCCCGCUGUUCUGACGGUACCCAAAGAAUAAGCACCGGCUAACUUCGUG